This 297-nucleotide ribosomal RNA is filed under the name uncultured bacterium. Its description in RNAcentral is "partial 16S ribosomal RNA". It matches the Rfam family "Bacterial small subunit ribosomal RNA", at positions 334 to 649 of the family's 1533-position model. The record is from RNAcentral.
UGUGCCUACGGGGGGCAGCAGUGGGGAAUUUUGCGCAAUGGGGGAAACCCUGACGCAGCAACGCCGCGUGCGGGACGACGGCCCUCGGGUUGUAAACCGCUUUCAGUGGGGACGAUGGUGACGGUACCCACAGAAGAAGCUCCGGCUAACUACGUGCCAGCAGCCGCGGUAAUACGUAGGGAGCGAGCGUUGUCCGGAUUCAUUGGGCGUAAAGCGCGCGUAGGCGGGUGCCUAAGCGGGACCUCUAACCUCGGGGCUCAACCCCGAGCCGGGUCCCGAACUGGGCGUCUCGAGUGC